CGCGCGAGUCAUUGGGAACGACUAAACCUAAAGGCGCAAUGAAAGUGAAGGUACGCCCCGAGCGGACCGAGGGAGGAUGGGUGGCGCACACGUUACGCCGCCCCGCACUCCCGGGGCGUCUCGCACUCAUCGCGAGGCGAGGCGCACCGCGAGCGCGCGCGCUGGGACCCGAAAGAUGGUGAACUAUGCCUGGUCAGGACGAAGUCAGGGGAAACCCUGAUGGAGGUCCGUAGCGAUUCUGACGUGCAAAUCGAUCGUCGGAACUGGGUAUAGGGGCGAAAGACUAAUCGAACCAUCUAGUAGCUGGUUCCCUCCGAAGUUUCCCUCAGGAUAGCUGGCACUCGGGAGAACCGCGUACGCACUAGCACGAGUCUCAUCCGGUAAAGCGAAUGAUUAGAGGCA
This 402-nucleotide ribosomal RNA is filed under the name Hygrotus impressopunctatus. RNAcentral's name for it is "eukaryotic LSU rRNA". It matches the Rfam family "Eukaryotic large subunit ribosomal RNA", at positions 683 to 1029 of the family's 3401-position model. The record is from RNAcentral. Lineage: Eukaryota; Metazoa; Arthropoda; Insecta; Coleoptera; Dytiscidae.